CAUUUUUAUAGUGUAAAUAACACAUUACAUUUUCGUUGUAAAACAGAAGAUCUUCUUCUAAAAAU
RNAcentral lists this transfer RNA (65 nucleotides) under Euastacus yarraensis (Yarra cray). Its description in RNAcentral is "tRNA-Glu". Lineage: Eukaryota; Metazoa; Arthropoda; Malacostraca; Decapoda; Parastacidae. The record is from RNAcentral.